Molecule: RNA transcript, 857 nt
Organism: Piliocolobus tephrosceles (Ugandan red Colobus)
Lineage: Eukaryota; Metazoa; Chordata; Mammalia; Primates; Cercopithecidae
Gene name: transmembrane protein 98 pseudogene
Exons: 1
Source: RefSeq, a predicted model, not a curated record
GCCAUCUGCGGGGCCAUCGUGGGAGCGCAGCAGGAUAUGCCCCGGAGCUGCCACUUGAGGCGCUCAGGUCUCCGGAGGUGUCAUGGAGGAACCUAGCUCCUGCCAUCCUCUUCCCCCAAUUUGCCACUUCCAGCAGCUUUAGCCUAUGAAGAGGAUGUGAAUGAGACUGAGUCAGGAGCUCCCCGGAAGCAUGGAGACCAUGGUGAUUGUUGCCAUAGGUGUGCUGUCCACUAUCUUUCUGGCUUCGUUUGCAGUCUUGGGGCUGGGUUGCAGGCAGCGCUACUACCAGCCCCGAGACCUGCUGCAGCGCUAUGAUUCUAAGCCCAUUAUGGACCUCAUCGGUGCCAUGGUGACCCAAUCUGAGCCCUCUGAGUUAGAACUGGAUGAUGUUGUUAUCACCAACCCCCACAUUGAGACCAUUCUGGAGAACAAAGACUGGAUCAAAGAUGCCUUAGGUCUCAUGUCCCACUGCAUUGCCAUCUUGAAGAUUUGUCACACUCUGACAGAGAAGCUUGUUGCCAUGACAAUGGGUUCUGGGGCCAAGAUGAAGACUUCAGCCAUUGUCAGCGACAUCAUUGUGGCGGCCAAGUGGAACAGCCCCAGGGUGGAUGAUGUUGUGAAGUUGAUGUACCCUCCAUUGGACCCCAAGCUCCUGGAUGCAGGGACGACUGCUCUGCUCCUGUCUUCUCAGUCAUCUGGUGCUGGUGACAAGGAAUGCCUGCCUGGACUGGAUUGACCAGUCACUGUCAGCUGCUGAGGAGCAUUUGAAAGUCCUUCGAGAAGCAGCCCUAGAUUUUGAGCCAGAUAAAGGCCUCCCAGGCCCGGAAGGCUUCCUGUAGGAGCAGUCUGCAAUUUAG